ACCCUCCAACCAGUGCACCUCUUCAUGGCAACCUUCUUAUCAUUUGUCACAAUCUUGCAUUACCUUAUCCACCGUCCUCAUGUUGUAUACCUUGUCGAUUAUGCUUGCUUCCGACCUAGCAACUAACGUGUCCCCAUGUCCACCUUCCUCGAACACAUCCGAUUAUUUCCCAACUCUAAUAAAAACAUUGUCCACUUCAUGAAACGAAUGCUUGAGAGAUUAGGUCUCGGUAAUGAGACUUACUAUCCCCCUAGCGCAUGGUAUAUUCCUCCAGGCUACUGUCUAAGCAAAACUCGUGAUGAGGCAGAAAUGGUCAUAUUCACUAUUAUUGAUGAAUUAUUAGUGAAGACACGCCUCAACCCAGAUGUGAUAGACAUACUCAUCGUCAACUGCAGCCUCUUCAACCCAACUCCAUCCCUUGCUGACAUGAUCAUGAGAAAAUUCAAGCUUCGAGGUGACAUCCGGAUUGCACAGCUCUUUGGGAUGGGGUGCAGCACAGGGAUAAUUAGCGUGGAUCUUGCCAGAAACAUCUUGCAAACGAUGCCUUAUGGUGCACAUGCACUCGUGAUGUCCACGAAGAUCCUAACUGGACGGUACUACAUGGGGAGGAAGCAUGAGAUGCUGGUGACCAAUGCAUUAUUCCGCACUAGCGGUGCUGUCGUGCUCCUUUCAACCUCGAGAACAAAAGCUCGCUUUCAGCUCUUGCACAUCACUCGGAAGUCUACUGGCGCCAAAGACAAUGCCUACCGUUGCGUAUUCCAACAAGAAGAUGAUGAGGGUUAUCUAGGGAUUCAUCUAUCAAAAGCCCUUUUGGAUAUUGCUGGUAAGGCUCUCAAGGACAAUCUCACCAUAACUGGACCACUUGUUCUCCCGAACUCAGAACUAUUGUCAUUUUUAUUCUCCUCCAUCACACGGAAGUUAUUCAACACAAGGACCGAGUUGUAUAUCCCUGACUUCAGCAAAGCCUUCAAGCAUUUUUGCAUCCAUGCUGGUGGACGAGUAGUGAUCGAUGGAGUUCAAAGAAGCCUCAGCCUAUCAUAUAAGCAUGUUGAGCCAUCAAGGAUGACACUGUAUCGGUAUGGGAAUACAUCAAGUAGCUCCUUGUGGUAUGAUCUAGCGUAUACUGAAGCUAAAGGCCAAAUGAGGAAGGGAGACCGAGUUUUAAUGGUUGGGUUUGGAUCUGGUUACAAGUGCAAUAGUGCCAUCUGGAAGUGCAUCCAGUCGAUCCAAAAUGUUGAUAGAGCAUGGGCAGAUUGCAUCCAUCGCUACCUGGUAGAUGUCUUCAAAUAG
Molecule: ribosomal RNA, 1290 nt
Filed under: Triticum aestivum (bread wheat)
Lineage: Eukaryota; Viridiplantae; Streptophyta; Magnoliopsida; Poales; Poaceae
Description: partial small subunit ribosomal RNA
Source: RNAcentral